GACAGAGGGUGCAAACGUUGUUCGGAAUUACUGGGCGUAAAGCGCGUGUAGGCGGCUUUGCAAGUCGGAUGUGAAAUCCCACGGCUCAACCGUGGAAGUGCAUUCGAAACUGCAAGGCUAGAGUUCUGGAGAGGAAGGUGGAAUGCUUGGUGUAGAGGUGAAAUUCGUAGAUAUCAAGCGGAACACCGGUGGCGAAGGCGGCCACCUGGACGGUAACUGACGCUGAGACGCGAAAGCGUGGGGAGCAAACAGG
Molecule: ribosomal RNA, 253 nt
Filed under: uncultured bacterium
Lineage: Bacteria
Description: partial 16S ribosomal RNA
Rfam family: Bacterial small subunit ribosomal RNA
Source: RNAcentral